GCCUCAGUAGCCCAGUGGUAGAGCGUUUGCCUAGUAUGCGUGCUAGCAAAAGGUCCAGUGUUCGACUCACUGUUGAGGCA
This 80-nucleotide transfer RNA is filed under the name Puccinia graminis f. sp. tritici. It matches the Rfam family "tRNA". Rfam says of the family: Transfer RNA (tRNA) molecules are approximately 80 nucleotides in length. Their secondary structure includes four short double-helical elements and three loops (D, anti-codon, and T loops). The record is from Rfam by way of RNAcentral. RNAcentral also lists the same sequence under 1 other name. Lineage: Eukaryota; Fungi; Basidiomycota; Pucciniomycetes; Pucciniales; Pucciniaceae.